Molecule: non-coding RNA, 191 nt
Filed under: pig gut metagenome
Source: RNAcentral
UGUGAGGAUAAUGAGCUAAGAAGGGAAUGCAGUGAAAACCUGCUACACUACCCGGUGCUGUAAGUUCCGAAGGUAAGAGCGACUGCCAAAAGCCACUGAAAUCUUCUGCGGUUGUCAACACUUUGACAACGAGCUGGUUUUGGGAAGGUUGAGCCGCUUGGAACGAGUCAGAAGACCUGCCUGUUGCGCUU